AGUGAACGCUGGCGGUAGGCCUAACACAUGCAAGUCGAACGGCAGCACAGGAGAGCUUGCUCUCUGGGUGGCGAGUGGCGGACGGGUGAGGAAUACAUCGGAAUCUACUUUUUCGUGGGGGAUAACGUAGGGAAACUUACGCUAAUACCGCAUACGACCUACGGGUGAAAGCAGGGGACCUUCGGGCCUUGCGCGAUUGAAUGAGCCGAUGUCGGAUUAGCUAGUUGGCGGGGUAAAGGCCCACCAAGGCGACGAUCCGUAGCUGGUCUGAGAGUGUGAUCGGCCACACUGGAACUGAGACACGGUCCAGACUCCUACGGGAGGCAGCAGUGGGGAAUAUUGGACAAUGGGCGCAAGCCUGAUCCAGCCAUACCGCGUGGGUGAAGAAGGCCUUCGGGUUGUAAAGCCCUUUUGUUGGGAAAGAAAUCCAGCUGGCUAAUACCCGGUUGGGAUGACGGUACCCAAAGAAUAAGCACCGGCUAACUUCGUGCCAGCCGCCGCCGUAA
This 506-nucleotide ribosomal RNA is filed under the name uncultured bacterium. RNAcentral describes it as "partial 16S ribosomal RNA". It matches the Rfam family "Bacterial small subunit ribosomal RNA", at positions 29 to 523 of the family's 1533-position model. The record is from RNAcentral.